GGCUUAACUCGGGGAGCUCGUUCAAUACUGCGGGGGCUAGAGGGCAGCAGAGGGAGGUGGAAUUCCCGGUGUAGUGGUGAAAUGCGUAGAUAUCGGGAGGAACACCCGUGGCGAAGGCGGCCUCCUGGGCUGACCCUGACGCUGAAUGCGAAAGCUAGGGGAGCGAACGGGAUUAGAUACCCCGGUAGUCCUAGCUGUAAACGAUGGAUGCUGGGUCUGGGGGGUAUAAAUUCCCUCUGUGCCGAAGCUAACGCGUUAAGCAUCCCGCCUGGGGACUACGGCCGCAAGGCUAAAACUCAAACGAAUUGACGGGGGCCCGCACAAGCAGCGGAGCGUGUGGUUUAAUUCGAUGCUACACGAAGAGCCUUACCUGGGCUUGACAUGCACGUGGUAGGGAACCGAAAGGGGACCGACCUUCGGGAGCGUGCACAGGUGCUGCAUGGCUGUCGUCAGCUCGUGCCGUGAGGUGUCGGGUUAAGUCUCGUAACGAGCGCAACCCUUGCCCUUAGUUAUACGUGUCUAAGGGGACUGCCCGGGAUAACCGGGAGGAAGGUGGGGAUGACGUCAAGUCAGCAUGGCCUUUAUGUCAGGGCUACACACACGCUACAAUGGCCGGUACAAUGGGUCGCGAAGCCGUGAGGCGGAGCCAAUCCUGAAAGCCGGUCUCAGUUCGGAUUGUAGGCUGCAACUCGCCUACAUGAAGUUGGAGUUGCUAGUAACCGCAGGUCAGCUAUACUGCGGUGAUACGUUCCCGGGCCUUGUACACACCGCCCGUCACGUCAUGGGAGCUGGCAACACCUGAAGCCGGUGAGCUAACCCGAAAGGGGGCAGCCGUAUAAGGUGGGGCUGGUGACUGGGACGAAGUC
Molecule: ribosomal RNA, 866 nt
Filed under: uncultured organism
Description: bacterial SSU rRNA
Rfam family: Bacterial small subunit ribosomal RNA
Source: RNAcentral